UAUUAUUUAGUGUGGUAUUUUGAAGAUAUCUAGGAAAGUUAAAUCUUUAAAUAAUUU
This 57-nucleotide transfer RNA is filed under the name Epanerchodus koreanus. RNAcentral describes it as "tRNA-Ser". Lineage: Eukaryota; Metazoa; Arthropoda; Diplopoda; Polydesmida; Polydesmidae. The record is from RNAcentral.